Molecule: ribosomal RNA, 439 nt
Filed under: uncultured bacterium
Lineage: Bacteria
Description: bacterial SSU rRNA
Rfam family: Bacterial small subunit ribosomal RNA
Source: RNAcentral
GCAUAACGCGAAGAACCUUACCUGGCCUUGACAUUGAUAGAAUCUGCUAGAGAUAGCGGAGUGCCCUUCGGGGAGCUUGAAAACAGGUGCUGCACGGCUGUCGUCAGCUCGUGUCGUGAGAUGUUGGGUUAAGUCCCGCAACGAGCGCAACCCUCGUCACUAGUUACUAACGGUUCGGCCGAGGACUCUAGUGAGACUGCCUUCGUAAGGAGGAGGAAGGCGAGGACGACGUCAAGUCAUCAUGGCCCUUACGGCCAGGGCGACACACGUGCUACAAUGGGAUGUACAAUGAGACGCAAUACCGCGAGGUGGAGCAAAUCUAUAAAACAUCUCUCAGUUCGGAUUGUAGUCUGCAACUCGACUACAUGAAGCUGGAAUCACUAGUAAUCGUAGAUCAGCCAUGCUACGGUGAAUACGUUCCCGGGUCUUGUACACACCG